This is a non-coding RNA of Lupinus angustifolius (narrow-leaved blue lupine), 119 nucleotides long. Lineage: Eukaryota; Viridiplantae; Streptophyta; Magnoliopsida; Fabales; Fabaceae. The record is from Rfam.
AGUUGCAUUCAUACCAGCACUAAUGAACCGGAUCUCAAGAGAACUCCGUAGUUAAGCAUGCUUGGUAGAGAGUAGUACUAGGAUGGGUGACGUACUAGGAAGUUCUCGUGUUGCACCUC